Molecule: ribosomal RNA, 235 nt
Filed under: uncultured bacterium
Lineage: Bacteria
Description: partial 16S ribosomal RNA
Rfam family: Bacterial small subunit ribosomal RNA
Source: RNAcentral
UGGCGGACGGGUGAGUAAUGUCUGGGAAACUGCCCGAUGGAGGGGGAUAACUACUGGAAACGGUAGCUAAUACCGCAUAACGUCUGCGGACCAAAGCGGGGGACCUCCGGGCCUCGCGCCAUCAGAUGAACCCAUAUGGGAUUAGCUAGUAGGUGGGGUAACGGCUCACCUAGGCGACGAUCCCUAGCUGGUCUGAGAGGAUGACCAGCCACACUGGAGCUGAGACACGGUCCAG